This 1170-nucleotide long non-coding RNA is filed under the name Triticum aestivum (bread wheat). RNAcentral describes it as "long non-coding RNA (TAES_LNC001762)". The record is from RNAcentral. Lineage: Eukaryota; Viridiplantae; Streptophyta; Magnoliopsida; Poales; Poaceae.
UUUAUAUUCACAGUAUUAUUGCUUCAUCGCAGCAAGAUUCAAGUUUUUUAAACAAAGCAUAACUCACACUUUCAGAAAAACAUUGUUAGGCCAGAGAUAAUACAAAAAGAUAAAUCAAAGUUUGGAAAUACUAAUAUUUACUAAAUAACAACAACACGACCAACAACAAUUAAUUGCCCCACUGUUGUACUUCAUAUGCUGUUAGCAUCAACCACCUGUAGCAUAUCAAGAAUCUUGAUUUCCUCUCCCAUCAAGCAUUGUUUCAAUUGAGAAUUUCGGCUGCAUUUACCAAUUAAUGUAUGGUUGCUAUAUCGACCUGAACAAAAAGCAGACCAGAUUGAGCUCGACUUAAAUUUUUUAUCAGUCCAAUGUAAGUUUACCACUGGAACACCAUAGAUAUCACAUACCUAUGUUUUUCCAUGCAGACUUCUCUAUAAAUUUACUGCAGGGUCUAGCCCAACAUCGACUAUUGAAUCAUGUGCUUCAUUGCAGCAGUACAAACUACAUUCUAUUAAUCUUCUCGCGGACCAAAUGACCUCAUAUGACCAAACAUAACUUCUUAGGAAGAUUAGCCUGCAUGUAAAUUCUUGUCUAACACAAACGCAUCUGGUGUACGCGGGUGUGUGCAAGUGUUUUAAAAUUCUAGUGGAAGCAUAUGGCAUCAUUGUUCCGGCAAACUGAAAAGGUAAGAGCACAUCUUAAACAGUAAAUGGCUACUGCUCGACUCAACGCUCAGUGCUAUAUAUAAAUUUAGUGAUAUCAUGUCGCUCCAAGUAGAUAUUAUAGUAGAUAUUAAAUUUAGUGAUAUAUUGCAGUAGUACAUAUUAAAUUCCAGUGGAAGCAUAUCGCAUCAUUGUUCCAAGUAGAUAUUGCAGCAGUAGAUAUUAAAGUAGAUAAUAAAUUUAGUGAUAUAUGUAAACGGCAGACUCAAUUGGUACUGAUUUACUAAAGGAAAAGUAGAUAUUAAAGCAAGGAUUAGACUGUUAUACAUGUCCUGUUGACAUGCCGACACCAUAUCGACAUGCCAAAGCAAGCCUCAGGAGCACAUUGUGGAUGGCGUCUUCAUGCACGAGCGCGCUGGUGAUCAGAAUCCCAUCAAGAAUGACAUCGAACACGCGCCGGCCGACAUGACUUAACACGGAGUAUCACCGCCUCACCCCGAUCUGAAUA